GUGAGGAAUAUUGGUCAAUGGGCGAGAGCCUGAACCAGCCAAGUCGCGUGAAGGAAGAAGGAUCUAUGGUUCGUAAACUUCUUUUGCAGGGGAAUAAAGUGCGGGACGUGUCCUGUUUUGUAUGUACCCUGUGAAUAAGGAUCGGCUAACUCCGUGCCAGCAGCCGCGGUAAUACGGAGGAUCCGAGCGUUAUCCGGAUUUAUUGGGUUUAAAGGGUGCGUAGGUGGUUUGAUAAGUCAGCGGUGAAAGUUUGCAGCUUAACUGUAAAAAUGCCGUUGAAACUGUCGGACUUGAGUGUAAAUGAGGUAGGCGGAAUGCGUGGUGUAGCGGUGAAAUGCAUAGAUAUCACGCAGAACUCCGAUUGCGAAGGCAGCUUACUAAGCUACAACUGACACUGAAGCACGAAAGCGUGGGGAUCAAACAGGAUUAGAAACCCCAGUAGUCC
This 445-nucleotide ribosomal RNA is filed under the name uncultured bacterium. RNAcentral describes it as "partial 16S ribosomal RNA". It matches the Rfam family "Bacterial small subunit ribosomal RNA", at positions 354 to 796 of the family's 1533-position model. The record is from RNAcentral.